AUAUCUAAACUAUAUAAGAAAGUAAAAUUUAACAUGUUAAUAUGGAAAGUUUUAUUUUUGUAUCUUGAUGACUUAAAUGUAAGCAACAAAGUGGUUAAACACAUACCCAUCUAAAUUUUUUUAUAGCCUUCCAUGUUAAACUAUAAGUAAAUAAUUAGUUUUAAAAUUGUUUUGUAUUUUCUUAUUCCUGUUCCCUUUACCCUUUGACAACUUGAAAUGUUACCACUUCGUCCUCAUGAUGUUCUUCUAUCAACCCUGCUUAGGAUGAGAACAAGUUGAGCAGUGCCAACGGCCAUGAAGAACGUAGCAAAAAGAGGAAAAAAAGCAAGAGCAGAAGUCGUAGUCAUGAACGAAAGAGAAGCAAAAGUAAGGAACGGAAACGAAGUAGAGAUAGAGAAAGGAAAAAGAGCAAAAGCCGUGAAAGAAAACGAAGUAGAAGCAAAGAGAGGCGACGGAGCCGCUCAAGAAGUCGAGAUCGAAGAUUUAGAGGCCGCUACAGAAGUCCUUAUGUAAUUUUGUGUUUCCUUUUUAGCUCCGGACCAAAAUUUAACAGUGCCAUCCGAGGAAAGAUUGGGUUGCCUCAUAGCAUCAAAUUAAGCAGACGACGUUCCCGAAGCAAAAGUCCAUUCAGAAAAGACAAGAGCCCUGUGAGGGAACCUAUUGAUAAUUUAACUCCUGAGGAAA
This 684-nucleotide small RNA is filed under the name Pongo abelii (Sumatran orangutan). Its description in RNAcentral is "retained intron". The record is from RNAcentral. Lineage: Eukaryota; Metazoa; Chordata; Mammalia; Primates; Hominidae.